Molecule: ribosomal RNA, 466 nt
Filed under: uncultured bacterium
Lineage: Bacteria
Description: partial 16S ribosomal RNA
Rfam family: Bacterial small subunit ribosomal RNA
Source: RNAcentral
GAUGAACGCUGGCGGCGUGCUUAACACAUGCAAGUCGAACGGAAAGGCCACAGCUUGCUGUGGUACUCGAGUGGCGAACGGGUGAGUAACACGUGGGUGAUCUGCCCUGUACUUCGGGAUAAGCUUGGGAAACUGGGUCUAAUACCGGAUAGGAAUCACAUGUGGGUGUGUGGUUGGAAAGCUUUUGCGGUAUGGGAUGAGCUCGCGGCCUAUCAGCUUGUUGGUGGGGUAAUGGCCUACCAAGGCGUCGACGGGUAGCCGGCCUGAGAGGGUGUACGGCCACAUUGGGACUGAGAUACGGCCCAGACUCCUACGGGAGGCAGCAGUGGGGAAUAUUGCACAAUGGGCGCAAGCCUGAUGCAGAGACGCCGCGUGGGGGAUGAAGGCCUUCGGGUUGUAAACUCCUUUCGUCAGGGACGAAGCGAAAGUGACGGUACCUGGAGAAGAAGCACCGGCUAACUACGUG